Long non-coding RNA from Zophobas morio, 1330 nucleotides. RefSeq lists it as uncharacterized. NCBI's taxonomy places the organism in Eukaryota, Metazoa, Arthropoda, Insecta, Coleoptera, Tenebrionidae. The transcript has 3 exons. The record is from RefSeq and is a predicted model, not a curated record.
AAAUUCAAUUUUACUGUACAAAGUGUUUAUAAAAAAUCUAAAACUUCACAGUUAUCAAAUAUCGAUGUUACAGUUAGCACACCAGUAUUGUAUUACUAUAUCCUACUCUAUUAGUUGGCUUUUUCUUUAGAUAUGUCGGUGUGUCUCUUAUAAUAGUGAAAAAUUGCGUUAAGUAUCAACUUUAGAUAAUAGAAGAAUUUACUUAAUAAUAAUAAUACGAAAUAAAGCCAUACGCCGCCCUGGUACAACGUCUAUGGGUCUUCUAGUAUGUAUCUGUUUCUUCCGGCAAUGACGGCUGACUCAUCGUCGCUGAUGCGUCCGAGCGGCGUUCGAAAAGCCUGGAAGCGGAAGUCGCGAUGGGUAUUCGAGAAAGAUCUCGAUCGCAGAAGUAUGGGUUUAAAUAGAGACCAUCUUCGGGAACGAUGAUUAUUAUUCAGUCGAACCGAGUCCAGCAAAUGUUAAGAUGGGCCAGUCGAGUUGUGCCAGAAUUAGUUUGUAUAUAUUCACUGUGCAGUUAGUCGUGUAAAUUUGACUUACUAAGAAAUAAAUUGUUGAGUUUUAGCCACGCCGAUUUUAUUUGCCCAUUCAACGUAACAAUAAUAUGGUCUGGGGUCAUUUAGAUAGAACUUCGCUAGCUCCUGAAAUAUACAGUUGAACAAAUACAGCUUCUUCGAAAAAAAAUGCUAUUUUUUUUAUGAUAAUCUAUACCGGGUGUCUGGAAAAUGGCGGACUAACUCUCCGCUACGCUUUUAACAAUCAACUGGCCUGCAUGGAGGAAUCUCAAAUUGAAUUAAAAAACAUUGCUCUCGCCUAUAUACAAUUUAAAAAAACCCUUGGACCGAACUAUAAAACUCUUCGCAAAAAGUGUUACCUUUUUGCGAAAACUAGGGAGUGGGACCCCCAAAAAAACGAACACCUGAGGUUAUUGUGGAUGCUAAAGAAAUAAUGGAAGAAACACAAAAACGUCAAUUCGUCAGGUAACAUCAGCAAUUUAAUAUUUCGGUUGGAACUAUCUUUACCGUAUCACAGCAGUGGACUUCCUAAGAAGAUGAGAAUUUUGUAAUUGAACGGAUUCUUUCAACAAAAUGAAGCUCCGGUUCAUUGUACAAUGGACAACUUAAAUUUCUUAAGAAACUUCUUUGAUGACCGCAUAAUUAGUCGAAGUAGAGAAAUUCCUUGGCCACCUCGUUCCUGUGAUUUCACAACUUGUCAUUUUUUCUUGUGGCCUCAUUAUAAAGACACGAAGAAUUGAACAAAAAUAUCUGGAGAUUAAUAACAAUCCCAUUAUGUUAGAAAAUGUUUUCAAAAAUUUUGGGAGAAGGGUUUUACG